AUUGACCCACGGGACGCAGCAGUAGGGAAUCUUCCACAAUGGACGAAAGUCUGAUGGAGCAACGCCGCGUGAGUGAAGAAGGGUUUCGGCUCGUAAAGCUCUGUUGGUAGUGAAGAAAGAUAGAGGUAGUAACUGGCCUUUAUUUGACGGUAAUUACUUAGAAAGUCACGGCUAACUACGUGCCAGCAGCCGCGGUAAUACGUAGGUGGCAAGCGUUGUCCGGAUUUAUUGGGCGUAAAG
Molecule: ribosomal RNA, 240 nt
Filed under: uncultured bacterium
Lineage: Bacteria
Description: partial 16S ribosomal RNA
Rfam family: Bacterial small subunit ribosomal RNA
Source: RNAcentral